GGACGAACGCUGGCGGCGUGCUUACCCCAUGCAAGUCGAACGGAAAGGCCCUGCUUUUGUGGGGUGCUCGAGUGGCGAACGGGUGAGUAACCCGUGAGUAACCUGCCCUUGACUUUGGGAUAACUUUAGGAAACUGGGGCUAAUACCGGAUAGGAGCUCCUGCUGCAUGGUGGGGGUUGGAAAGUUUCGGCGGUUGGGGAUGGACUCGCGGCUUAUCAGCUUGUUGGUGGGGUAGUGGCUUACCAAGGCUUUGACGGGUAGCCGGCCUGAGAGGGUGACCGGCCACAUUGGGACUGAGAUACGGCCCAGACUCCUACGGGAGGCAGCAGUGGGGAAUAUUGCACAAUGGGCGGAAGCCUGAUGCAGCAACGCCGCGUGCGGGAUGACGGCCUUCGGGUUGUAAACCGCUUUCGCCUGUGACGAAGCGUGAGUGACGGUAAUGGGUAAAGAAGCACCGGCUAACUACGUG
This 469-nucleotide ribosomal RNA is filed under the name uncultured bacterium. RNAcentral's name for it is "partial 16S ribosomal RNA". It matches the Rfam family "Bacterial small subunit ribosomal RNA", at positions 27 to 507 of the family's 1533-position model. The record is from RNAcentral.